Molecule: ribosomal RNA, 253 nt
Filed under: uncultured microorganism
Description: partial 16S ribosomal RNA
Rfam family: Archaeal small subunit ribosomal RNA
Source: RNAcentral
UACCGACGGCCCGAGUGGUAGCCACUCUUAUUGGGCCUAAAGCGUCCGUAGCCGGUCCAGUAAGUCCCUGUUUAAAUCCUGCGGCUUAACCGCAGGACUGGCAGGGAUACUGCUGGACUUGGGACCGGGAGAGGUGAGAGGUACCUCAGGGGUAGGGGUGAAAUCUUGUGAUCCCUGAGGGACCACCAGUGGCGAAGGCGUCUCACUAGAACGGGUCCGACGGUCAGGGACGAAAGCUGGGGGCACGAACCGG